Kogia breviceps (pygmy sperm whale) is the source of this 1092-nucleotide non-coding RNA. The record is from RefSeq and is a predicted model, not a curated record. Lineage: Eukaryota; Metazoa; Chordata; Mammalia; Artiodactyla; Physeteridae.
GUUUUUGCAAGUGUUGAGUGAGAUCCUGGCACUCAGAGUUCUCGCAUGGCCUCAAAGCUCUAGAGCAGCUGGAGGGGUGAUUAUAAAAUCAGCAAAGGAAUAGAACCAAGAACUUCAUUUCCAAUCUUCCCAAGAGGUAAUGUCUCCCCCUCGAUGCCCCCUCCCCAAAGAUGUUAUUUCUUCUGUCCCCACAUGGCUGAAAGAAAACGAGGGGAGGACCCUCAGGUCAGGGAUGGUGUCUUUUUUCAUCUUUGAAUCUUCUUAUGCCUGGCCCACGUCCUGGUAAGAGGGGGUUCAGUAAAUAAUAUUGAAUGAAUGAAAGGCUUGGGUUUCCAUGGAAAGAGCUCUGAGAGAAGUAUUUUUAUACUAACAUGUCAAUGACUGCAUUUCCCCUCUCCCAACAUGGGAGAGAGCAUAGGAUACCAGGAACCUGAAAGGGAAGCAGAAGAUUGUUUCUGACAGUGGUCAGAAACCCAUGAGGGGUGUCUGGGCAGGCCAGAGUUUUCUGGUCUGGACUCUAGGCUCCCAACUUACACAUCCCUCUCAGCAGCCAAAGACCCUGCCCCACUGCCAGGUCCUACCCAACCAUUGGGCCAGUGGCCUUUGCAGAUGAGGAAACUGAAGUUCAGCAGCUGAAAUCAACUCACCUGAGGUCACACACAAGGGGCCUUCUGGGGAGCAUCUUCAUCUUGAGAGAGGAUUGCUAAGGACAGGACUUUCUGGUGCCCAGACGAUCUCAUGAGGAAGACAUCUUUAAGCAGGGUGCCCUUUGGAACCUGAGAGAAGGAUCCCACCUUCACCAUUGUGGAAGGAAGGAGGAUGCUCACGGUAGAGGCUACACUACAGAAGACAACUGAGUGCUAGCGGCGGAUGGACAGCGUCAGGUACACCCAGGGUUGGGGAACCUCGGCUGUCCGACAAGGGCCACAGAAGAAGGGAUACCCUGAGCAGAAAAGAAGCUUGCUUCCAAGAGACCCAGGGCGGGCACGAGAAUCCUGAGUCUUCUCCCCAGGAAGCAGGGGACUCUCACGUGUGGAGGGACCCCUUGAAGAAGCAGGCGCUCUGCCUCGCACCUCUAGGAUCGGGUGAACA